Long non-coding RNA from Neofelis nebulosa (Clouded leopard), 641 nucleotides. RefSeq lists it as uncharacterized. The record is from RefSeq and is a predicted model, not a curated record. Lineage: Eukaryota; Metazoa; Chordata; Mammalia; Carnivora; Felidae. The transcript is spliced from 2 exons.
AAGGAUGUUAGCUUUCCCACCGGUUGUUCCCGUUUCUGUCCUUCUGCCUCGUUUCCCAGGUUAUUCAAGGGAAAACCCCACAGGAUUUAGAGCCCUGAGAUCCAGGGUUAGAUUCUGGAAGUUCUUCACAAAUGCUGUCACCUCCCUGAGCUCCAGUGUCCUCUUGGUUUCAAGGAUAAUGAUGCUAUUCUACCUCCAAGGUAAGCAGAAUAAUGGCCUUUCAAAGGUGUCCACAUCCUAAUCUCCAGGACCCAUGAGAAUAUUAUGUUAUUUCAUCAAGAAGAAGGAAAGUUGCAGAUGGAAUGAAUGGUCGACCUUAAAAUGGGGAGAUUAUCCUGGAUUUUCUAGAUGGGCUGAAUCACAAGAGUCCUUCAGAGAGGAAGUCAGAGGAGGUUACUACAAAAGGAAGCACAGAGAGAUGCAAUGCAGCUGGUUGUGAAGAUGGAAAAGGGGGCAUGAGGAAAGGAAUGUGACAGUCUCUGGAUGAUGGAAAAUGCAAGGAAAUGGAUUGAUUCUCCCCCAGAGCCUCCAGAAAGGAACACAGCUCUGCCAACACCUUGAUGUUAGCCCAGGGAGACCUGGGUUGAACUUCUAGCCCACAGAGCCCUAAGAUAAUAAAGUUGUGUUGUUUUAAGCCACUA